RNAcentral lists this transfer RNA (85 nucleotides) under Felis catus (domestic cat). It matches the Rfam family "tRNA". From Rfam's summary of the family: Transfer RNA (tRNA) molecules are approximately 80 nucleotides in length. Their secondary structure includes four short double-helical elements and three loops (D, anti-codon, and T loops). Lineage: Eukaryota; Metazoa; Chordata; Mammalia; Carnivora; Felidae. RNAcentral also lists the same sequence under 1 other name. The record is from Rfam by way of RNAcentral.
GCCUGGGUGGCUCAGUUGGUUGAGCGUCUGACUUCAGCUCAGGUCACGAUCUCGCGGUCCGUGAGUUCGAGCCCCGCGUCGGGCU